CAUCCCACCAUAUUGUUCGCCAGAGUACUACAAGCGCUAGCUUAAAACCCAAAGGACUUGGCGGUAUCCCAUACCCACCUAGAGGAGCCUGUUCUAUAACCGAUAAUCCCCGUUCAACCUCACCACUUCUUGCCAUUACCGUCUAUAUACCGCCGUCGUCAGCCCACCCUGUGAAGGAUCAAAAGUAAGCAAAAAGAAUAAAACUCCAAAACGUCAGGUCGAGGUGUAGCAAAUGAAGUGGGAAGAAAUGGGCUACAUUUUUUUCCAAAAAUAUACGAAUGGUAAACUGAAAACACACCUAAAGGUGGAUUUAGCAGUAAGAGGAGAUCAGAAUACUCCCCUGAAAUCGGCUCUGGGAUAAGCACACACCGCCCGUCACUCUCCUCAAAAGUAACUCACUCCUUUCCAUAAAUACAUUUCUCCAAUAAGAGGAGGCAAGUCGUAACAUGGUAAGUGUACUGGAAAGUGCACUUGGAAUC
This 479-nucleotide ribosomal RNA is filed under the name Carcharhinus obscurus (dusky shark). RNAcentral's name for it is "partial 12S ribosomal RNA". It matches the Rfam family "Bacterial small subunit ribosomal RNA", at positions 853 to 1522 of the family's 1533-position model. The record is from RNAcentral. Lineage: Eukaryota; Metazoa; Chordata; Chondrichthyes; Carcharhiniformes; Carcharhinidae.